Molecule: small RNA, 27 nt
Filed under: Bombyx mori (domestic silkworm)
Lineage: Eukaryota; Metazoa; Arthropoda; Insecta; Lepidoptera; Bombycidae
Description: ovarian small RNA-32101
Source: RNAcentral
UGAGAAAGCCGUCUUUGGUGCAUCUAA